RNAcentral lists this ribosomal RNA (1554 nucleotides) under Salmonella enterica subsp. enterica serovar Oranienburg. RNAcentral's name for it is "bacterial SSU rRNA". It matches the Rfam family "Bacterial small subunit ribosomal RNA". The record is from RNAcentral. RNAcentral also lists the same sequence under 1 other name. Lineage: Bacteria; Pseudomonadati; Pseudomonadota; Gammaproteobacteria; Enterobacterales; Enterobacteriaceae.
AAAUUGAAGAGUUUGAUCAUGGCUCAGAUUGAACGCUGGCGGCAGGCCUAACACAUGCAAGUCGAACGGUAACAGGAAGCAGCUUGCUGCUUUGCUGACGAGUGGCGGACGGGUGAGUAAUGUCUGGGAAACUGCCUGAUGGAGGGGGAUAACUACUGGAAACGGUGGCUAAUACCGCAUAAUGUCGCAAGACCAAAGAGGGGGACCUUCGGGCCUCUUGCCAUCAGAUGUGCCCAGAUGGGAUUAGCUUGUUGGUGAGGUAACGGCUCACCAAGGCGACGAUCCCUAGCUGGUCUGAGAGGAUGACCAGCCACACUGGAACUGAGACACGGUCCAGACUCCUACGGGAGGCAGCAGUGGGGAAUAUUGCACAAUGGGCGCAAGCCUGAUGCAGCCAUGCCGCGUGUAUGAAGAAGGCCUUCGGGUUGUAAAGUACUUUCAGCGGGGAGGAAGGUGUUGUGGUUAAUAACCGCAGCAAUUGACGUUACCCGCAGAAGAAGCACCGGCUAACUCCGUGCCAGCAGCCGCGGUAAUACGGAGGGUGCAAGCGUUAAUCGGAAUUACUGGGCGUAAAGCGCACGCAGGCGGUCUGUCAAGUCGGAUGUGAAAUCCCCGGGCUCAACCUGGGAACUGCAUUCGAAACUGGCAGGCUUGAGUCUUGUAGAGGGGGGUAGAAUUCCAGGUGUAGCGGUGAAAUGCGUAGAGAUCUGGAGGAAUACCGGUGGCGAAGGCGGCCCCCUGGACAAAGACUGACGCUCAGGUGCGAAAGCGUGGGGAGCAAACAGGAUUAGAUACCCUGGUAGUCCACGCCGUAAACGAUGUCUACUUGGAGGUUGUGCCCUUGAGGCGUGGCUUCCGGAGCUAACGCGUUAAGUAGACCGCCUGGGGAGUACGGCCGCAAGGUUAAAACUCAAAUGAAUUGACGGGGGCCCGCACAAGCGGUGGAGCAUGUGGUUUAAUUCGAUGCAACGCGAAGAACCUUACCUGGUCUUGACAUCCACAGAACUUUCCAGAGAUGGAUUGGUGCCUUCGGGAACUGUGAGACAGGUGCUGCAUGGCUGUCGUCAGCUCGUGUUGUGAAAUGUUGGGUUAAGUCCCGCAACGAGCGCAACCCUUAUCCUUUGUUGCCAGCGAUUAGGUCGGGAACUCAAAGGAGACUGCCAGUGAUAAACUGGAGGAAGGUGGGGAUGACGUCAAGUCAUCAUGGCCCUUACGACCAGGGCUACACACGUGCUACAAUGGCGCAUACAAAGAGAAGCGACCUCGCGAGAGCAAGCGGACCUCAUAAAGUGCGUCGUAGUCCGGAUUGGAGUCUGCAACUCGACUCCAUGAAGUCGGAAUCGCUAGUAAUCGUGGAUCAGAAUGCCACGGUGAAUACGUUCCCGGGCCUUGUACACACCGCCCGUCACACCAUGGGAGUGGGUUGCAAAAGAAGUAGGUAGCUUAACCUUCGGGAGGGCGCUUACCACUUUGUGAUUCAUGACUGGGGUGAAGUCGUAACAAGGUAACCGUAGGGGAACCUGCGGUUGGAUCACCUCCUUACCUGAAAGAAGC